RNAcentral lists this long non-coding RNA (14365 nucleotides) under Populus tremula. RNAcentral describes it as "long non-coding RNA (PTRE_LNC000294)". The stretch from base 2301 to 2454 matches the Rfam family "MIR2912 microRNA precursor family". The record is from RNAcentral. Lineage: Eukaryota; Viridiplantae; Streptophyta; Magnoliopsida; Malpighiales; Salicaceae.
CACCAACUACACAAACCCUAAAAAUAGCAAAUUUUUAAAUCUUUAACUAGAAAUAGCACAAACCCACAAACAAAAACCAAUCCAAGACUAAAAAUUCCCAUUAAACAACAACCAUUUACUUCAUCACUCACUAAACAGAAAAAUGUUCAAAAUCCAAUCUUUACUUGUUUUUUAUAACCUUGAGGAACAUAGAACACUCUUUCUCCACGCUUGAGAACAUUCACAACUGGACCUACUCCUGCCUUCUCUAUAUACAAAUCAUCGCCUCUAUAACCUAGAACCAAAAAGGAAAAGUCAAUUUUCUUAGGAAACAAAAAGAAUAAAAAAAUUUAAGUCAUUUCACACUUCAUUGUUCCCAUACUCCUCCUCCUCAUAUUCCUCUAUUCAUAGCCAUCAUUUUUCAAAAGCCAACAAGCAACAGAAGUCAACAAAAACUUGAAGAAUCGUGCUUGAAAAAUAGAGACUUGGCAGAGAUGACAAAUGCGAGACAACGGGAGAGAUAGAAGGGGGUGGGCUAUGAAUGGGGCUAUAGAGGAGAUCGAGAAAGAAGGGUGGAAAGGGAGAAGCGGGUUUGCGGUUGUGAGAGUGAGUUUUAAGGUUUAAGUCUUUUGAAGACAUUUUUCUAUUUAUUUGUUGCAUUUGAUAUUGUGAUGAAUUUUAAAAAUUAUUUCGCGGAAAGAAUAGAUUUUUAACAUUUUUUUUAAAUAGUAAAAAGUUUGUUUAAGAUGUUGCCAUAUAUUAUGAUCAUUAAAAAAUCUAACUAGUCAACAAAGAUUCUAUAAUAUAGGACUAAUAAAGAAAAUAUAUUAUCUCCCUUUAAACAUCCUACCUGAUGUAAGUUACAUUACUAAUUUUGUCUUAAAUUACUAAGAGCUUGCUUUGUUUUGUUUUUUAUGAUCUACUUAUAAUAUUCUUGUCUCUGGCGCUAGUGAAUAUUCGACUACGGUACUUUCAACUUUGACGUUGGUAAAUAUUACGUGGCAAAAAAAAACAUAUGGUAUUCUUGACUCUGACGCCAAUGAAUAAACCAAUAAAAUGAAUUUAAAACAAAGCAUACAUAUUUUUUUUAUUUUGUUUUUUUGAGUUGGGUCUAACUCAGCCCGUAUGGCCUUGCGGGGUCACUGGUUUGGCAAGCACGCGCGAUGCGUGCAGUACAAUGAUGUGCUAAUUAUAAUUCACAACAACAAUAACAAGUGAAUUAUAUUGCAAAAUGGGAAGAGAAGAAAAGGGACUUUGCUAGUUCAGGAGACAAAGACGUGAUGGAGGACUGGCCAAAGCUACUUUCUUCCCCUCUACCUCUACUCUUUGUGCGCUUCUCCUCUGGUCUUGCUUUUCUUUGCUUGGUUUCUUUUUGCUUCUCUUGUUCUCCCUAUCUCCCUUAGUGUCAUGCUUGGUAUUCUCGUGUUGCUCGUCUUGUUCUCUUGUUUUCUUCCUUUCCCUUUAAUGUUUGUGUUGUUUGUUCGUUUGUGUUUUUUUUUUCUUAUGUUGCUCUAUGUUGGCUUGAGCUUGAUCUCGGUUACUGGAGAUUUGAAGGAGAUUCUACAAUCCCUUUCCUUUGUUUCACUCUACCUAUAUUUUUUUCUCUCUUAUUCGUCCUUCCUAUAUUUACUUGUUCGUCCCCUUCUCUCUCUAGUGGUUUUUUCCUUGUCCUCUCCUACCCUGGUUUUUCUCUUCUUCUAUUCAUUUCCUUCUUGUAUUUGCUCAUUCAUCCCCUACUCUCUCUACUGGUUGUGCUAUAAUAGUGCCAAGCAUUUGUUGUACCAAGUGUUAUACAAAACAAAUCUAGAUUAACAAUUUAACAAGCAAGGUAUUGAGAAUUAGUAAGAUAAAAAGAUAAGACAUGUUAAUAUUAAACAUUAAGGUCCAUGUUGAGUUUACACUAUACUUAUUCUUACACCAUUAGUGUAAUAUUUUCACCUUGACAUAAUAAACUUAGCUAAACAUAAUGAAAAAGAGAAACAUAAAUAAGAUACAAGUUAACUAAGUAAAGGAAAGGAAAUGAAAAGCAUAAACAAGAUAUUAAUGAAAGCAAAACUUAAGAAUUACAAAAAAAAUAUAAAGAGAGAGAGCAAGAGCAAGUUCUUGAUCUGAACAACCAAGCCUAAAUGCAUGGCAAAUGCCUCCCUUUAUAGGCUAAAAUUUGGAACUAUUGAUUUGAUGACUAAUUAUUGAGUGGGUGGCCAACUCUUCUUGUCUGAAUAAAACGUCAUUGCUAGCAUCAGAACUGGAACUACCUGUACUCAUGAAGUUAUAGGAAAUUGUCUUAUCUUUCUAAGAAAAAAAAUGAGGUUAUUUGGACUUCUAGAACUCGAGAUAUGGGCUAAACACUGAACAGUGUCUGAGUUGCAGGACAGAUUCAGACUUCGUUGUUGCUAUAAUUUGGACUUGAAAACAGCCUUUUUAAAUCUUGGACUCCACAUGAAAGUUGUAGGCCUAUGUCUUACCGAAUCUGUCGAAACAAUUGAGGACAUUUGGACAUCUAGAACUUGAGAUAUGACCCAAUUAUCGAAUAGUGUUCAGUUUGGACUGCACUAACAUCUCUUUUCUAAGUUUGGCCCUCUCUUUGUCCUUUCAUAUUCAAUACUUAAACUCAUCAAUAAUUCUUUUAUUUAUGUGAUAGGCCUGCAUUUAAGAUGAAUAUUUACCAUAAAUUAAAUUUAUCUUAUGUUAUUAUAAAAACAUGCUUUAGUUAAGGACUUAAUGAUACUUCAAGUGCAAAAUGAUGAUAUAAAACCUUGAUAAAAAUAUACUUUUAAGUAUUAAUCACAAAACAAAGCCCUUUCUAACAGAAGAAUUACAACCUUAAGUGUAAAAAUAGUUAUAACAGUUCUAUUAGGAAGUAGAAUCGUGACUCAAUAUAGAUAAAAUUACAGCACAAAUAAUUUAAACCCGCCAUAAAGUUCCCAUCUUUACCCAAAUCCUUAAAAAAACAUAAAAACCCAUCGAAAAAAACACAAACCCACCAUUUUUUAAUCAAUAACUAAUUUUCCAAAGUGGUUUUCUUAUUGUUUUGAACUUUAUAGUAGUGACAAAAGCUCAUGUGAUGUCCCAAUAAUGCAUGGGCCAUUAGUAUCCAUAUAUCAAAUCAAUUUGUACUAAGAGUUAUCAAGUGUGUACCCAUGUAUUUAAGCAAUUUGUACAGGUUGUUGUAUCCUAUUUUUGAGUCCCCACACAAAAAUAAAAAUAAAAAUAAAUACAUAAAUAUAUAGCAGGAAAAAAUUAUAAAAAUAAUAGGAGGUUAAAAAUACAAUGAUUGAAAUUUGGACAUUAUAUACUUGAAUGAUGAGAGCCUUGUUGGAAAAGAAAAUUUCAUUUGAGGAGAAAAGUCCAAGAUUUUAUCGACCCGGGACCCGGCCGACUUAGGCCUGAGACCAGUCUGGGUCUAAGUAAAAACUCGUCUAGGAGUUGGCUUAGCAAACCGGGUCGACCCGGCGGGUCAACCCGGAACCCGGGUGACCUGGGUAAACCCGACUGAGACCUAGCCUUUAUAUAUAUAUAUAUAUAUAUAUAUAGUUUGCAGGUGUCUGCAGCUGCAUUUAAGUCGCUUGGCUGGCGGGAAUGAGUGUAGGUGAACUAAGGCCAUGUUUGUUUCCCGGAAAGUAGUUUCCGGGAAACCAUUUUCUACACUUUCCUAUGUUUGUUUGUCAUUAGAAAAGUUGGUCAACGGAAAACACUUUCCGGUUAACGAAAAACACUUUCUAGUCAACAGAAAAUACUUUUCGGUCAACGAAAAACACUUUCCAGUCAAUUUCAGUCAAAGAAAAAUUUGGCUUGGUUUUCAGGAAAAUAUUUUCCCUUUAGCUGUGUUUGUUUUCCGAAAAAUGGUUUCCAAACUUUCUUGUGUUUGUUUGCCAUUAGAAAAGUUGGUUAAUGGAAAACACUUUCUAAAACCAAGCAAUUUUCCUUUUAGGAAAGUGUUUUCCAGAAAAAUUUUGGGGGAAAACACUUUCUGGAAGUUGUGAAAAAUUUAGAAAUGUCAUUAUUUGCUUAUUAUAUUAAAUUUGAUACUCAAACUUUUGAUUGUUAUAUAUAUUUUGUUUUGAAUAUUUAUUUUUCAAUUUCAUCUCUUAAAAUUUUAUUUUUAUAUUAACUUUGGUCCUUAUUUUUAUAAUUGCUAUUUGUUUUUUUCCUUAUCAUUUUUUUAUUGAAAUUUUUUAUCUAUCAAAUUUGGUCCUCAUUAUUUUGAUUGUUACUUAUUUUAUUUGAAAUAAUUUAUGAAAUGUUGAUUAUUAUUAUUUUAAUUUCUUCAUCUUUCAUUUUUUUAACUUUUUAGAUUUGAUCUCUAUUAUUUUGAUUAUUAUUUAUUUUAUUUGAGAUAAUUUAUGAAAUUAUAUUUUUUUUCAAUUUCAUUUUCAUUCAACUUUUUAAUUUGUAAGAUUUGUUCCUUAUUAUUUUAAUAAACUUGAGAAAAAUAAAAUAUUAAUAAGUUAUUUUCCAGCUCAUUUUACAUGACAUAACCAAACAUUAGAAAAUGUUUUCCAACUUAUUUUCCAUUACACUACCAAACAUCGAAAAAUACUUUUUUAAAAUUCACUUUUUUAAAAUUUACUUUCCUCGAAAUUCACUUUUUAAAAAAAAAAAUCACUUUUCAACAAACAAACGGAACCUAAAAAGCUUACCAUUCCGUCGUCGGUCAAUUAUUCAGCUAGGCAGGGUAUCAACAACACCACAAAGCAAGCCAGCCUCGUACAUAGAACGAACAAACACGGGCUCAGCCAGGGCCUACUGUCUUUCAAAAAGAGAACAGCUCCAUCCCGCUCUGUAUGGGAUGCCGGAUUGGAAUCCGCCUAUUCUCUGUUGGUUGAGAAGUACUCUUCUCUGGUAGGGGAACCAUUUGCAAGGGAAGAGUUAGCAAGAGCAGCAGAGAUGAGAGGAAGAGGCGUCCAUGAAAGAGAAACACAUGCACUGUGGUUGGGCACAAGAAACUAGGGGGGGAGAGAGAGAGAGAGAGACAAAGACCGUGCAGUUUGAAUUUUGUUGUCCAUGAGCUUGUUUUCUUUCUUUUUCAGUGGUCCACUACUCCACUCCAUUGUGACCACCUAGUUUGAAUUUUUUGUGCGCCUAUGGAAAAAAUGCCAAGGGUCUAACUUUGACUGGCUUUUACCUGAUUUUUUUAGUUGGCAGGACUUAUUCUAUCUUACUCUGAUCUGAUCAUUAUAUUGAGUUGAUUACCGGUUUGAAUUUAAAAACUAUGAUUUUUUUGUUGAACUUGUAACUAACUAUCUUCUAAUGUUUGUAGAAAAAAUAAACUCAAUGGUAUUAAUAUUGUGUGGUUUAGUUUUCCGUAUUAAUGUUGUAAUUAUUGUAGGUUACUUUUUGACUUAUCUUAAUUAUAAUGAUGUUUGGUUGCCUUCAAAAUAUGACUUAGUGUGAACUGUUUAAUUGGGUAGGAUAUGCAAGUGUUGAAUUUGCCUUCUCAAAUUCUAUCCUCUGUUUAUGACUUAAUUGGAACUAAUUACAUUUUUCCUUAAAUUGUGAUAUUAAGAGUCAAGGUUCAUGAUGAUUGGUCAUGAUUAUGGAUUGAUUUGUGUUAUGAUUAUAAAUGUCGAUAACUUUGUACCAUUUAAUUAUAAAAGAACCUUGUUAAAAUUUCAAUAACGCGCGCGCGCGCGCACGUGUGUGUGUGUGUGUGUGUGUGUGUGUGUGUGUAUAUACCCUGGAAAUUAGAGGGUGUUACAAGUUAAUGUCAGAGCAAGAAAUUGGAUCAGGACAUUUGAAGAUUAAUCUAUUGGGUCGAGUUUAAUAACAAUAUAUUUCACAUGACCAGAACAUUAUUUGGUUCAAUAUUGAUACAAAACCUAAGUCGUGUGAAAAAAGGUAUUAUCCAUAUUCCAUUAUUUAUUAUGGUUUAAAAUAGUGAAAUUAUGCUUUUUCCCUUCACAAAAAAAUAAAUGACCUGACCUUAAAAGGUAAAUGAAUCUUUUUACGGGGUUCAUUUGUCAUUGUUAAAUGUUUUUAGGGCAACACUAUCCUUUCACAAUUUUUUUUACACGAUUAUAUUUGAAUGCCCUUAAAAGCAAAACAACACUUAACUAUGGUCUAGGAGCUUUUUUGAUAAAUAUUAUUCAGAAGAAUAGUAUAAUGAUGUUUUCGCCCCUCCAUUCAAAUUGACAAGGCUUUUUUGUAUUUUCACAAUGGUUUUUUUAUUAUUAUAAUGUCAUAUGAGGGGUAAUUUGGUAAUUGACAAAAUUUAAAAACAAUGAACUAUUAAAAUGCACGGUGAAAUGACCAAAAUACCUUUAAAAUGAAAAAUUUUAAACCUUGAGCCAGGAAAAUUUUUGGUCUUUUCACAAUAGUUUUUCAUAAUUAUAAAUUCAGCUUAUGAGCAAUUUUAUAUUUGGAUAAGAAAAAAAAGGCGAGCUUGUCGGAGUCACCUGCGCACUUUGGGAUGCUCGAGAGGCGACUCUAAGCAUUCAAAAAUACCCUUCCACCGUGGUUUUCAAAGCAUCAUCAUAUCCUUUUCAUGUUGGUGCAGCAAAUGUCUAUCGAGGUGGUCUGGUUUAUCACCGUUGGGUUUUUUUUUUCCUUCUUUUUUCUCUCUUCCCUUGAAAAUUAUUAUUUGACUCCUUUUGUUAUUGGUGUUUCAAUUUUUAUUAUUUUGAUUUCUAAUUUUUGAUCUUGCCCUUUUGUCGCACGUCUCUCGCGCGACGUCGGCUGGUAAUUUUUCAGUUUGCUUGGCUUGAUUUGAUUCAUUGUAGCUGCCACCUAGUAUUUAAUUGAGGGCUACUAGGAAACCCGGGUAUACUGGUCUUGUCAGAGAUUCACGGGUAAGGGACUGAUUAUGUUUAGGGAAGGUAUUAGCACCCCUAACUCACCUUACCUAAGGUAAGCUACUUCGUGGCUUUGAUGUGUUAAAGAAGUUUUAAAAAUUUUGUCUUUCCAUCGGAUAUUAGAAAUACAACUUACGUAUAAGUUAAUAAUUCUUGACCAUGAGCAAAUCAAAAUAUUAAAUUCUUUUUUAAUCUUUGCGAUUUUAUCAGAAAAACAAAUCCAUAAAAAGCACACAAACACACACAUACACUUUUACUAUAUUUUUCUUUUUCUUUUCUUUUUCUUUUUACAUCUACACUUCAAAAUACAAAUUCAAAAAAACUAAACAAAAAAUACAUUACACAAUUUCAAGUUUACAAAAUAACCCCUAAAAACUCCAGAAAUUGCAGGGAAGACCUUCUACAACCACAGGAACAGUGGCGACGUGUCUCCUCCAUACGCCACCGCCACUAGCAGCGCUUGUGUUCAUGCACCAUCGUAAAAUCCAGACAGCGUGAGGGGGCUGUAAUGGCUUCCUCCCCUCUUCACUUUCCUGCUGCCCGUAAGGACCCCAUCACUUGCAAAUCCAAGAACGCAACAAAUGGCAGUUGAUUUUAAGUUUUCUUUUGGUCCAAAUCCGUUCUCGGGUCUGGUUGGUUGUCCUUUCCUUUUUCUUCAAGAGGCUGAUCUGGCGGCUGAGGAAGGGGACGGCGUUUGUAUGGGAGGAGCUGGAGGAAGACGGCGGACAAAUCUUGGUUUGUGGGCGCCGCUGUGUUCGAGCUGGUCUGGAGGAGGUAGGCAGACCGAUUUGAGAAGAGGACGCUAUUGAUGGGGAAUGAGAUGUUGUGGGCGGCCUCUGUGGUUGUAGUGGAAGGGAACGACUAGGAUGGAGAGUGAGGGUCUGUCUUGUGGCCGGCCGAUUCUCUGUAGGGGGAAGGUUGAGAAAGGAGAGGCUGGGAGAUGGAAGUUUUGACAAUGGGAAAAAUAGGGGGUUCGGUUUAUAGAGAAACUGAGAAAUGAGAGUCUGGUGAGGGGGGGCGACUUUGUUUGGGCUGGUGUUCGGAGAUAUAGCUGAAAGAGGAGAAAAUGGAGGCUCUGAUUUAUGUCCAGCGUGUGGCUGAGGGAAGGAACAACUGUGGAUUGGAGAGUGAGGGAAGAAUGUCGAAGAGAGGGAGAGUUGUGGGAAGAAGAGAAACAGGCAGCCGGAUCGGUGGGGGCCGGCUGUUUCGGUAGUGAAUGGAUUUAGGGUUAGGGUUUUUUUUGUUGUCUUUUCCAAACGUGCAAAAUCUCCCCCCCCCCUUUAUGAAUGGGUUGGAAACUCUUAUUUAUAGCAAAAAAUAUUGCUAGGUUUUCAAAAUUGGUCCCUCAACUUCUUUGUUUGUAAAUUUUGAUUUUUUCUUAUUUUUUUGGAUUUUUCUUAUCAACAUCGCCUCGAAUGAGGAAAAUCGGUGAUUUUAAAAAUAACGCGUUAAAGGUCAAAUGCGUUCUAAAAACCUUUGAAAAUUUAAAUUCUUUUGAGACGAUGCUAAAAAUUCUAAAAAAAAUGCAAAUAUAUUUUAAAAAAUGUAUUUUUUGGAUUUUUUAUGUUUUUUGUUAUUUUUGGAUUUUUUAUGAAAAUUUAUCAAAACAUGGGUCAAAAAUUGGGCAGCAACAGAUGCCCCCUCUUUACAAUGCUUACGAAGCAAAACUCCUCAAUGUUUUGUAUAGUAAGCUUUGUGAAGAAAAACUUGUGUUCCUAACUUGUUGAAUCCACUCAUUUAAGGACCUUCCUUUUUUUUCUUUUUUUUGUUUCUUUCUCUUUUCCUUCUAUUGUCUUCCUCUUCUUUCUUUCUCUUUCUCUCUGUCUUUUUUUUUCCGUUAACCUGAGAUCCCAUCUAGCGAUCUCCUUUAACUAGAACCGAAUAAAAUGUUCUUCAUGAUGGCAGGGUUUGAACUUUCUCUCUUUGCUUUUUUUUUCGUUAACUUGAGAACCCACCUGGCGACCUCCUUUAACCAAAACCAAAGAAUGUGUGUAGCUCGGUCAACCUGAAAUCCCAUCUGACGAUUCCCUUUAACCAAAGCCAUAUGAGAUCUCAUCUGGCGACCUCAAUCAAUUGGAACUAAAAACUAUGUGUAGCUCGGUCAACCUGAAAUCCCAUCUGGUGAUUCCCUUUAACCAAAGCCACCUGAGAUCCCAUCUAGUGACCUUAUUUAACUGGAACUAAAAAAUAUGUGUGACUCGGUCAACCUGAAAUCCCAUCUGGCGAUUCCCUUUAAACAAAGCCACCUGAGAUCCCAUCUGGCGAUCUCAUUCAACUGGAACUAAAAAAUAUAUAUAGCUCAGUCAACCUGAAAUCCCAUCUAGCGAUUCCCUUUAAACAAAGCUACCUGAGAUCCCAUAUGGUGAUCUCAUUAAACCAAAACCAAAAAAUAUACGUAGCUCGGUCAACCUGAAAUCUCAUCUGGCGAUUCCCUAAAACCAAAGCUACUUGAGAUCCCAUCUAGCGACGUCAUUGAACUAAAACAAAAGAAUGUGCAAAAAGUGGUCUCAUUGUAAUGGGUGACCUACCCAGGUGGAAAGAAUGUGAAAAAUGGUCUCAUUAUGAUGGGUGACCUACCCAGAUGGAAAGAAUGUGAAGUGCGGUCUCAUUGUAAUGGGUGACCUACCCAGAUGGAAAAUAUGUGAAAAACGAUCUCAUUAUGAUGGGUGACCUACCCAGAUGGAAAGAAUGGAGAAAAACAAUGUGAAGUGCGGUCUCAUUGUAAUGGGUGACCUACCCAGAGAAAAAGGAAAGAGUGGUCUCAUUGCAUUGGGUGACCUACCCAGGUAAAAAAAAACAUGGAGAAUUGGUCGCGUUGUAAUGGGUGACCUACCCAAAAAAAUAUUGACGAUGGCUCAAAGGUGCACUCAAAAGGAGGUAGGGUUAGAAAAUGCACUAUCUGAGAAGCGAGGGCUCAAAGGCGCAUUCGAAAGGAGGUAGGGUUAGAAAAUGCACUACCUUAGAAGUAAGGGCUCAAAGGCGCACUAAAAAAAGAGGUAGGGUUAGAAAACGCACUACCCAAAAGAUGGUGGCUCAAAGGCACACUCGAAAUGAGGUAGGGUUAGAAAACGCACUACCCAAGAGUUGGUGGCUCAAAGGCACACUCGAAAUGAGGUAGGGUUAGAAAAUGCACUACUUAAUAAGUGAGGGCUCAAAGACGCGCUCAAAAGGAGGUAGGGUUAGAAAACUCACUACCCGAGAAAUGAUGGCUCAAAGGCACGCAAAAAAAAGAAGUGAGGGCUCAAAGGCUCACUCGGAAUAAGGUAGGGUUAUAAAACGCACUACCCAAAAGGUGAUGAUGAAACACCGAUCUGACAAUGCUAAAAACAAUGCAUUAUGAUCAAUAUGCAUGUACACGUACCUAAGAAAUAUAGGUCCUCAUUUCUUCAUGGUGUCUUUCUUUUCUCACAAGUUGGAGUGUUGAUAGUAAACAUCGAUGGUUUUGUCCCUCUUGCUUACUCGAGUCAUAUCAUGUGAUCUUGACCUCUAGGAAAGACUUGAUGUCAUCAUACUUCUUUGUCCUUCACCCUUGAUCUCAAGGUUUGUCAAUUUUGCCCAGUAUUUUUCUUAGGAAGGGAAUCCUGGAGCCAGCCCUAUCAUGCAAUUUUUUUUUAUUGCCUCCUAGCUUGAUCAUACCCCAAGUAUUCAACUCCUAGUUUGGGUAUGAGGCUCUAUGAAGGAAGGUUUGACAAGAGUUGUUUUCAUGCAAAAAUUUUUGGAAUUUCAAAGUCAUUCCAGACACAAAAAUCAUUUUGAAAUCGAUUCAAAGUGAACUCAUUCUGAAGAAAUUCAAGUGGUUCCUAUUAAGAGGUUUUUAGAAGUGAUGAAAAAUUUUUGUUUUGCUUUUGGUGAACAAUGUGAAGUGACGCUUGGUUGGUCAAAAAUGGUUCAAAAUUCAAUUUGAGGGUUACAGAGAACCGAUUUUCAAAGCAUUUAUUUUAUUUGCAUGAAUAAUGAUUUGGUUCGCAUGAGAAAGCACUGCCUACCAAUCCAAAUUGCUUGCCUUUGAUCAGAAAGGGCUUGAUUAGGCACGUAAUGUAGGCUUGAGCUCUUGGUUAUGAAGAAAAUGAUAUUUGUAGGCUCAAAAGGUGUUUAAGGGAUUUCAAGACUAAGGAUCACUUGUGCGUGUUUCUUGACCUUUUGUCAUUUGAAUGUCUUUCGAAAAUUGUCUAUCGUGCCCCCUAGUGAUGGGCUUGGGCUCUUUCUCUUUGCUUUUGUUUUCUUCAUAUGGUUUUGAGCAUCAUCAUAUUAUUAUUUUUUAUGCUCAAAACUUUUGAUCCUUUGAAUUUUUCUUCAUACCCCCUAGAUUUGUUCGGGCACCUUUGAUGAUUGAGAAUUUUCUUUUAUGCCCCCCAGUGUUGCUUCGGCACUUUUAAUCAUUGAGUUUUUUUUUUAUGUCUCUUGCACUUGCCCCCAGUGUGGGGUGUGAUCCUAGCCAAGGUUAUUUUCUUAAGAAAAGCAUUGGGCUCAAAAGGGGACUGCAAAUGAUAUAUUUUAGCCUCGUGAAAAGAUUAUCAAAGAUGGCCUUUCUUCAUUUCAAACUCAUGCAUUUAGGAUUAGUAAGCCUUACUUUCAUGCGAGUAUACAAUGUGAUUUCUCAUUAUUCAUUGAAAUAAAACUCAGCUUUUGGAGUCACUUCAUGGUUUUUUUUUUUUUUAGGUUUUUUCCUAGCCAAGGUUUUUUUUUCCUCAUUAUCCUAGCCAAGGUUAUUUUAUGUUGUCUUUUUCAAAAGUGCAAAAUUGUCCCCUUUUGUGAAUGGGUUGGAAACUCUUAUUUAUAGCAAAAAAUAUUGUUAGAUUUUCAAAAUUGGUCCCUCAACUUCUUUGUUUGUAAAUUUUAAUUUUUUCUUAUUUUUUUGGAUUUUUCUUAUCAACAUUGCCUCGAAUGAGGAAAAUCGAUGAUUUUAAAAAUAACACGUUAAAAGUCGAACGCGUUCUAAAAAUAUUUGAAAAUUUAAAUUCUUUUGAGACGAUGCUAAAAUUUUUUAAAAUGAUGCAAAUAUAUUAAAAAAUGUAUUUUUUGGAUUUUCGAUGUUUUUUGUUAUUUUUGGAUUUUUCUUAAAAUGUUUCAAAACAUGGGUAAAAAAUUGGGUAGCAAUACCCUUUUUUUAGAAAUUUUAUUUUUUUAAUUUCAUUCUUCAAUCUUAAUUUACUAAAUAUUAUAUUCUCCAAUUUGGUUCUUAUUUUUUUAUUUUUUUUUCUUGGCUUUUUUGCAAAACUUUUAUUGGUUUUCAAUUCCAUCCUUCAAUUCAAAUUGAUGGUAUUAUGUUUUUUUAAUUUGAAUCUUUUGUGGAAAUUAUUAUUCUUUUUAGUUUUACUUUUCAAUUAAAAUAUUAUUUUUUUAUGUCAAUUUUGAUUUUCAUUAUAGUGAUUUUUUUUCUUUUACUAAAUUGAUUUUUCCUUUCAAUUUCACCCUUCAAUCAAGUAAAAAAAUUAUUUUGUUUUUCAAUUUUAAUUUUUAUUAUUUUUUAAUUUUUUUGUAUAAUUAAAAUUAAUUUUUUUUAAUUUUAUCAUUUAAUAUUUAAUUGAUUGAGAAUUGAAGUUUAUGAUUUUUUCAAAUUGGAUGUUUUAGGUUUAAUAGCUUAGGUCACGAUUUUGAAAAAUUAACAUGGUUUAUGUUUUUAAAAAAAAAACAAAAAGCUUUAUAAUCCUCUUUAUUUUUUUAUUGAGUUAUUCAAAUCUUAUUAUCUAGUCUAUAGGUUUGGCAGGAUACCCCGAGUUAGUUCGAUCCUAAUUAUCUGGAUUACAUGUUUGACAUGCUAACUUAGGUUAACUAAAACAUUUUAUGUUAUUUUUUACCCCGUUUUGUUCUUUUAUAUGAGUUGUGGAUCCAUUUAUUUAUUUGUUUCAUCUAAUUAAAUUAAAAUCAAUUUAUUUAACCUCAUUAAGUUUAUGAACUGAGCCGCUUAGUUUUCUUUCUCUUUAAAAAAUCUAGCAACAGCUAAAUAUUAUUUUUUGCAUUAAAAAAAAAUCAGCUCUCGCUAUCCAAAAAAAUAUUGAAUCACCGAUUAUAUCAUAAAAACCGUAUUAUGGAGGAAAUAAAUAAUAUCAAUCAUCAAUUAAUUUUAGAAGAGAAGAGGGACAUGAAAAAUUUAAAAGAAAAUAUAACAACAUAAGAAAAAAAAAUUUAAUAUCAUAACAACAAUAAAGAAAAUCCUAACAACAUGAUCCAGAAGCUGUAGAUCUUAAUUACGCGAAAGGAGAUUCGAAUCCAGACCCUGCAAAAGCAGAGGAAUUGUAUGCAAGCAAUCUUAACGUGAUGUAUAGGCAGAUGGUGUCCUGUUGUCUUGCAUAAAGUCACAAUUGUGGAGUUUUCCAGGCCAAGGAAAUCAAGAAGCGCGACGGAGAAAGAAGAUGAAGAUGAAGAUGAAGAAAAUCAAUCAAGUUCGAUGUCCUCGCCAACGAUGAACCUGAUUCACCCGGUGGACCAGACAAGUCCGGCGGUGAUCUUGUUACCCGAUUAGAUUUAUAAUCAUGCUUCGCUUCAAUGUAUUUACCAUUACUAUACUAGGAUAACAUUAUCAGGAGUAGAUUAGUCUUUUAUCCUUGAUGUCUUGAAACAUUUCAUGAGGUUUUUUUUAUUUAAUUAUUUUAUAAUUUUAAAUAGAUAUUUGUGUGUGUAUUAAGUUAGUUAUUCUUUUUUUACUCAUGUUUUUUACCACAUAAUUUUUAUUAGUAGCGUGUUUGUUUAAUUAAAACUAUAGGUAAUUAAAAUAAUUUUUCUCUCUCUUUUUUCUUUUCAGUAUUCUAGAGGCGGCUUGAAAUCCAUGUUCAUGCUUCUUGUUUUUCUUCUCUUCGUUAGUUUCAAUUUUUCUCUUCUAUCGUAAGUUCAAUUAAUGGGCCCUAUCCCAUUGUUUUCUUUAAAGACUUCAGUAGAUUUGUGACGCCUAGUUAAAGGUCGGAAGAAAUAGCUUGCUGUCUCUAUUCAAUAAAAUAAAAUAAUAAUAAUGAAUAAAAACCUCUCUCAUUCUUAUCCGAUGGAAGGAUAAGGCCAAAUGAUAUGGGGUGGAAAAGAAAAGGAGAAGAGAGAACAAUAUAUAUAUAUAUAUAUACAUUUUUUAAAAUGGAGGAGAUAUAUAUAUAUUUCAAAUGCAAAUAUAAAAAUAUGAUGCUAUUAAUAGUCUUUGUGCAGAGAUAAUACAUUACAUUUCAUGGAAUCGUUACUUUAAUUAAAAACCCAGCAACACCAUGAAGGAAAAAAAAUAAAAAUAAAAGCAAGAAGAAGAGGAAUAAGAGUGCAAGACCCCGGAAGGUACCUCCUACCUCGUGAAUGAUCUUACAAGAAAUUGGAAGAUGUCUCCCUUUUUCACACUUGGGUCAUUGAGAAAAGUACGUGGUCCAGCCACCAUGCAAUGUCCACUGACGCCGCGCUUGAUCAUCGUAUGUGGCGGUGGACGAGGAGUGUUUAGAUUCCUCUUUUUCCUUUUACUUUUAAGAGAGAGGAAAAAAAAAAGCCAAAUUUUAUAAAAUUCUCAUUGCAAUGGACAGAUAAAUAGCCAAUUUUCUACACCUCUCGCCUGUACUACAACAAGAUAUACAGUAUAAUUAGUACAAAAACGCAAGGCAGUACUAUGUUAGAGGUUUUUUGUUUCUUUU